AAGUCGUAACAAGGUCUCCGUUGGUGAACCAGCGGAGGGAUCAUUACAGUGACUUUACCGUUAACCAUGUGAAUACAUACCUUUCGUUGCCUCGGUAGGCGCUAUGGUGCUGCUGUGCCAUGGCGUUGAGCCUGCCGGUGGCCCCUCAGACUCUGUUACAAGCUAUACUCUCGAGUCAUAUUCAAUAAGUCAAAACUUUCAACAACGGAUCUCUUGGUUCUG
RNAcentral lists this unclassified non-coding RNA (222 nucleotides) under Chaetosphaeria ellisii. RNAcentral's name for it is "partial internal transcribed spacer region". The stretch from base 1 to 46 matches the Rfam family "Eukaryotic small subunit ribosomal RNA", at positions 1786 to 1831 of the family's 1831-position model. The record is from RNAcentral. Lineage: Eukaryota; Fungi; Ascomycota; Sordariomycetes; Chaetosphaeriales; Chaetosphaeriaceae.